CACCGGCGGCCCGAGUGGUAACCGUUUUUAUUGGGUCUAAAGGGUCUGUAGCCGGCCAAGUAAGUCCUUUGGGAAAUCUGGUAGCUCAACUAUCAGGCUGCCAUGGGAUACUGCUUGGCUUGGGACCGGGAGAGGUGAGAGGUACCUCGGGGGUAGGGGUGAAAUCUUGUGAUCCUCGAGGGACCACCAGUGGCGAAGGCGUCUCACCAGAACGGGUCCGACGGUAAGGGACGAAAGCUAGGGGCACGAACCGGAUUAGAUACCCGGGUAGUCCUAGCCGUAAACGAUGCUCGCUAGGUGUCAGUCACGGUGCGACCGUGAUUGGUGCCGUAGGGAAGCCGUGAAGCGAGCCACCUGGGAAGUAUGGCCGCAAGGCUGAAACUUAAAGGAAUUGGCGGGGGAGCACUACAACGGGUGGAGCCUGCGGUUC
Molecule: ribosomal RNA, 430 nt
Filed under: uncultured archaeon
Lineage: Archaea
Description: bacterial SSU rRNA
Rfam family: Archaeal small subunit ribosomal RNA
Source: RNAcentral